Meriones unguiculatus (Mongolian gerbil) is the source of this 6954-nucleotide long non-coding RNA. RefSeq lists it as uncharacterized. Lineage: Eukaryota; Metazoa; Chordata; Mammalia; Rodentia; Muridae. The record is from RefSeq and is a predicted model, not a curated record. The transcript is spliced from 4 exons.
AAUUGGCACUAAUUGUCUAUGGCAAAAGAUAGCCAGAACUAAUAGGCAUCCCUGGGUCCCUUUUCUUCUAGGCUAGGCUGUGGCAGUGUCUAGAUCAAUAGCAGCUCCCACUGUUUGUCUUUACCAGCAAGAAGCCACUCUCUGCCUCUGGGAGAGCUGGGCUCCACUCCUCUUUGGAGCAAUGUUCCCGUAUUCAGGGUUGCCCUCUCAGAUAUGAUUCAUCCCUAACUUUUCCACACAAGGAAAGCUCCCAAUUUAAAAUUCUCCACUUGAGUCUAUGCUUCGAAAUAUGAGGCCAAGUACGGAAGAUGGUAAGAGGAAGGGGAGUCAACAGAGCCUUGGAGAAGGAGUUUGUAGCUUAGGCCAGUGAGUCAGCUGUGCUGUCUGUGUGCACGGGGAAAAAUGGCAAACAGUGGCUUGGAGCGUCGCUCAAGGCUCAGAGAACCCACAGGGUAAGGCAUGCAGUGGCAACCCAGUUCCUGGUUGCAGUGUUUUGAGGCAGGAGUGUUUCCUCCCUAGUCUUGCUUCUCAGAAGAUGUCUACUCUGAGAUCAGAGGAUGGCGGAGAAAGAGCAGCUCCUUCUGAUGGCUAGCCCACAUGCAGGCUGACUCUGGGGAAAGCCCCUUGAUAAAGUAGGGCCCAUUUCCUGCUCUUUGGAACAGAGAUGUCCCUGAGAAAGGCCUGCACUUCAUUUCUGCUUUGUCACCUUGUGCAAUCUGUGACAACGACCACUCUUCACCAUGAAGAUUGUCCAGACACACCUCACACUCUUGAGUCAAUGCCAGUAAGCAAAUGAGAAAAGAUUAGAGUACCCACUCUCUUUGCGCUAAGAGAGCUCGUAGGCUCCUAGGACUUAGCAUUUAGUCACCAGCUGGUGGCACUGUUUUCGGAAGCCUUGGAGCCUUGAAGCGGGUCACUGGCAUUAGGCCUUGAGGUCUACCAUCCCCACUCCCCAUUCCAUCUCUGCCCCAUGUUCUGCCAAAUGUAAGGCGUUCCAGCUACAGUGUCCCACUGUCAUGGAGCUACCUACAACCAGGCCUUCCCCUCCGUGAAUAGGAUCGCCCUCUUCAGUUGCUUUUGUCAGUUACUCCAUUCCAGAUGUGAGAAAAACCAACCAAUAUAGCAUGGAAAUCCAGUCCCUAUGUGGUCAGUGACUGGUGGAGGCCCAUUGUCCUAUUAGCCAAGGUGUGUAUCAUCAGUGAGUCGCGCCCUGGCCUUUCCAGAGGUCAGAAGCCGUUUCUUUUUUUAAGAGCAGCCUCAGUGACAAUAACCAAACAACCAGUAUCACAGCUAUUAUAUUUCCCUGUGGCUGGUCAAGAGCAGUGCUCAGUGGGGAAGCUGACAUCAAGGGCUAUCAGACCUAAAGACAGCUCCUGAUGACACACAACUCAAGUAUCCACAGAUUAACCCACUUUAGGUAUCAAGAUACAUAAAAGAGUUGUUGCUUUUUAAAGAUCUGUCCAUGAUUCUUGACAUCAAAACUCAUCUAAAUGUAUGGAUUGCCCUGGCAUACACAAUGAGGGUCUCCAAAGAUGUUCCCAAGAGCAGCCAUCCGGUGGCAGGUGAGGCUGUCAAUAGGCUUCCCUUUCCGGAAGCAAUUCACUCUGCAGCUAGCCUACUUGGUUGCAGAGGGGGGGGGCAGACAUCACUUACUAGCUCUCAACCAGUACUCUCAGCUAUGGGUGGUUCAAGUCAUUCCCAAGAGAAAUGACUCAAUUAUGUGAGGACACCGCAAAAUCACCCAGUAGAAGAGAGGGCGUUCUGCUUCUUGGACUUACCAGUAUCGAUGGGAUCCAAACGCAGCUGCGGCUCACCAUGGCCAAAGACUGUCUUCUCCUCGGAUGGAAAAUUUUCAGGUAGAUCUGAGCUGUCUUCCGUGGCUGGGAUUCUUUCGUCCGGGGUGUCAUAGAGGCAGAGAGGGCCUAGUGCCGUUACUGUGAGAUGCGCAGGACUCUGCCGCAUGUGCCCCAUCGCUCCCCCUCCCCCCAGAUCCUCUUGACAGUUGGUACCAUCCAAAGCCCCAUGGUGUAUGUCAGGGGCAGGUGGCCGAGAAAGGCUGAAAGGAGAGGCUUGAGCUAAAGGACCAGGUCACACUCCUCUAGGGGACUGAAUUUCACCACCAAUAGAGGGUCACAGACUCCAGAUCCACACUGGCUUGCUCUUCAGUUUGGGCUCUGUCAUGUAACCCUGACCUUGGACACCUCGCUUAACUUCCUUAAGUGCCGCUAGGCCUGUCUACAAGAGGGAGUAGAGGGCUGGCGCAGCCUGCUGUUUGGGGCUGCUAUGACGCACAGGACCCAGAACGAAGCUCACUCUAGUCCCUAAUAAAAGAGUAGUGACACAUCAGCAAAGCUGCAGCUUCUGCUGGACUCUUGGGUCCAGGGACAGGUGCAAAAAGUACACCCAGUCCCUGAGGCCAGAGGACCUGUCAACUUGGGAAUGGCUAUAGACAGAGCAACUGCACCUAACUGACACCUAUCAACCUAUAUUCCUGCUCUCAGCGCUGUCUGUCUCCUCUACUUAGGUGUCACUCGGGUUGCAUAAUGCCUUUGCAGGAAGGAAGAGAAAGAUCCAGCUCAAAAGGAUGUGCUGGAUGUCAAAAGGAUGGUGGAAGAAUGAGGGUGACGGCAUGAACAAGGAUCAGGACAAGUUUGGCUUCCUUGAAACCGUUCUCAUCACUCUCCUUUCCCAACCUUGCCAGACCUGCAGAAUCACAGCCUGCCUUUGGGUGUGUGAGAAGUCAUUCGAGUGGACCAAUGGACCUCUGGGUCAUUUUUGUCCAGCAACUCAGCUUGGCAGGUGACAGCAUUUGUGGAAUAUCUGCCACAAAGCAGGGACCCAUACUCUCUUAAGUCCUGAAACUAUCCUUAUUACAACAAAACCUCCUUAUAAUGGCUUCUCCUCCGUCUCGUCAUCACCAAGGCUGAGUGACUCUGGGGGAAACAAUUCUUCCCAUCUGUGAGCUCUUCCCAUCUGCUGUUUGAUUCGUCUACAUCUAAUGAAGACACUUUGGAAGAUUGUCCAAGCUCCACAAAAGAAUGAAUCUCUAAUGGUGGAAAGUCAAGCAUCCGAUACUGGGUUGUGCAACUGUGAUCUUGGAGCGGUUCCAAAGGUGCUCCCAAGUGAUUCCAAACCUAUAAAAAUCAUUCCACACUGGUGUAUAAUUAUAGUUAUAUAAUUCUAACUCUUUUACCAACUGCUAAGUUGUACCCUGGUAAAUUAGCUUCAGAAAAAAGCAUGAAGCUAUGGGAAGGAAGGGGACGGGGAAAGGGGUGUUUAGGAUCAGAAGAAUGUCAAAUUCUAGUCCCAGUUGUACACCAUGUUGCUGAAAGAGGCAAGGUAGUGAGUGGGUUAGUUAAAUCAGAAGGACCCCUGAGGAAUUGGGGCUGGUGGCAGCUACAAUCUGGGUGUGCCAUUAAGGUCCUCUGUGCCACCAAGUUGCACUUCCUCCUCAACAUUUAGAGGUGUUUGGGCAAGUGAAAUCUGUAGGUCUUACUCAAGUCUUCGCUAGUAUUAAUAUUGUGAGUCCUGUGGAUGAUGUUCAAAGUACAGACACUGUCCCUAGCUCUCUAGGCAGGCAAGGGAAAGAAGGAAUUUAGGAAGCUUGAGUACCCAGGCCUCAAGUAUUGGGUCUCAGGAAUGUCCAGCCAUACUUGUUUUCAAAUUUUAUUUUGAAAAACAAAACAAGACAAAAAAAAAAAAAACAGUAGAAACAAUAUGUCUUGCUGUCAAGCCAGGCUUGAAGACAUGUUGCCUCAGAACUGGACCAUUACCCAUGGACAUUGGAAGGGAUGUAUUGGAGAAAUGCAUCUGGAGACUAGUACUUCUGGGUAUUCAUCAACAAGGUAACCCCUUUCGUCUUUCAACUCCAUUUUACAAGUCUCAGCCACUACCACACAUCUAUUGUAGUUUCCUCUAGCUGUAUUCAGAGGUUUUUCAGUGGAGAUAAGGCACAUGAAGCAUGCCUAAAGAGUCAGAAAGCUGAACUUGACACUCUACAGCAGCUAUAAUAAUCAGGAGGGCAACGAUGGCAGGAGGCCGAGUGCAUGUCAUCACUGUUCUUGGACGGAUGAGAUAAUCCUGAUGCUGGACCUGUCCUAAGUCAUAGUGGGUCUUCAGGGGAGAUGUGUAAAUUUCUUGAUUAACAGCAAGAAAUGCAGGUGAGUUUUCCUGGUGUAUACUGUAGCAACUGCCUCCUUAGGAGUAUCUCAAAGACAAAAAAGCAAAGAAAGAUGAUUAGCUAAGGAGACUGCUUUCAAUUUGAUUCUGCUUGGAGCCAGGACAAGACAUUGUGGCUCUGAGAGCCCCUUAUCCAGUGUACAUGCAUGAUUACAAUAAAGGGCUUCAAAUUGGUGGCCAGGGUCAUGGUACAAGUUGGAACACAAUCAGCUAAGCACAGCAUCUGCUCUCCCUCAGAUCUGCAGAGGUUGGGGACAAUGAGGAACAAGUGGCAAGAUGACAAGAGGAUAAAGUGGGACUCUCUUCUGCAAGAACCGGGACCAGCUAUGAACUGCAGACACUACCAGGGAAGCAUAAACUCAAGCUGGAAACACAGCCUCACUUGGCUUUUCCCAAACACAACAAACAGUAGGCAAAGGACAGAAAUUUGAAGGUGAAGAAUUAUUUUAAUAAAAAAAAUUGCUUCUGAAUUCUGCUCUGUGGAGGGGCUUCCCCUAAGGGAUCCAGAAGGACUUCCUGUACCUUUCUUUGUGCUGGGACCUUGGCAUAUACAUGCAGCUAGACCAGCCUCCUUUCCAUUCACAGCCCCACCCAGGAAGGCUGCCAAAGGGGAGUGCUGUAGAUCAGCCCUGGACUUCCAGAAGCUACAGCCUCCCAAAAAAGCCUCCAAGUCUGCCAGAGCCUCUUUCUGACUAGCCUCCUGCCUCCAUCCAUCAGGGCUGACCAUGCCUCUAGAAUGCUAAGGGACUGGGUGCAUUAAGAGACCUGAUCCAUGCCUCCCUCUGUUCAGUGGGGUAUGUGCCUAUGGUCCUGAGCAAUCCAGUUUGCCUCUGUUCUUCCAAUAAGAAAAGUUACUGAGGUGUGUUUACAGCAAACAACAACUUCCAUUUGAGGAGAGACAAUUUUCCCAGUCUCACUUCUAGGUGCUCCAAAGUGAAUUUAAGGGACAGCAAACAUCUAACAAAAGGGUACAAUCCCAGGCAGGCAGCCAGAAGGCCUUUUUUUUUUCCAAAGAUUUUUUUUUUUUAAUGAUGUGUACUUGUGGGUAUGGGUACGUGCAUGAGUGCACCUGCCCUUGGGAGCCAGAGGAGGGCAUCAGAUCUCCUGGGGCUGAAGCUACAGACAGUUGUAUGAGCCACACGAUGUGGGUGCUAAGAACUGAGCUCAGGUCCUCUGCAAGAGCAGCAUGCGGUCUUAAAAUACUGAGCUAUCACUCCAGUCCUCCGUCCUCCAAAGUAGUCAUAAACGUCCCUCAGGUGCAAAAAAAUCUGAGACCCAAGCAUGAGACAAGUCUAUACUACACUUUUCAUACAUGCAGUCCCCCUGCAAGACCUCUCAAGACUAAGAGACUAAGGACUAACCGCUGCUACAGUCUAUCUAGUCACUGAUCUCCAAAAGAACUCGGUUCACACGUCCUCAGCUACCCCUUGGCUGGUGAAUACAGAGGGCUGCCUUACUUUGCUGUCUGUAAAGCCCAAGUGUAUAGAACUAGCAGAGUAAUCUCUUGACUCCUUUUUCCAUGGUUUCGCUUUAAAAUAAUGACCUUUAGUGAAGUGUGUUUAUGUGUGUGCAUGCUUGUGCCAGUCAGGGAAUAAUGAACUCUGACCCCAUGAGACCCAACGUAACUUUUUGGCCACGCAUUUGCUAUCAUUUUGAUGGAUAGAUAGCACCGGCCGCAGUACCUUUCCCGCCUCCACAGAUUUCGUGGUUCCAUUGCUCUUUUGCAUGUAGACCGCUAGAGACUGGUUGUCACUCUCGUACUUGUUCCGUUUGGCAUGUUCUUCCCCACUUCUCUGCCCCAACCCUUUCUUUCUCAUGCUGCCUUAGUACCAUGAUGUGUUUGGUCAUGGAUGUUCUCUGAAGCGUACUACUUGGCCCUUGGUCAUGCUAUUUCACGUUUGGGUUUUUAUCUUGUUUCAAUUCUACUGCUUCUAUUUUUACUUACCCCCCCACCACCACCACCCUAUUCUCUAAAACUCUUUAUGGAGAAAUGCUGAACUGGCCAGACACACCUCCCAUCUCAACCCUUGACUUUCCAACUCUCUUUUCUCUCUGCUAUCUGGAGGAAUCUGAUGGUUUUAAGUGUUGAGCAACUUUGUUCCCCAGGCCUCUCUGUGCAUCCGCUAGCCACGUUUCAGAGUUGCAAUCUGCUUACCCCGCCACCUUUCCUUUGCUGUGAACUGUUUAGUCAGUACAUCUCUGAUUCCUCAUACACAAUGUUCAUUAGUUUGUGGAAAAGUCUCCGUGAGCCUGGCAACCAGGAGAUAGGUGCCAUGUACGUACCGUAAGCAAGUUUUGCUUCCUUCUGUCCGAUACGGGGAAGGUGUCUGUCGUCAGUAGAGUGAGGACUCAGGGAUGCCUUGUCUUUUGGCUUGUGUAGACCCUGCGACCCAGUCACCCGAGAAGUCUGAGUCAAUCCCAAUGAUGGAACAAUCACUUUGACUAUCUGAUUAUCCUGGGAGCCACGGCUACUCACUCUACCAUGUACUUUGGGCAACCCUUCACCCUCCAUCUGCCAUGUAGUAGCUCAGGACACAUUUUCCCAGCAGUGUUCAUAGCAAUGCUUCCUUCAGAAAACUGACUCCACUAACCCCAUGUUUCAGAGAUUUCUUCCACAUUUAAUGCAUCAAAACAAGUUUCUGUUUACUGGCCCCUGUUCGUGGUUUUAAAGCAUACACUUCUUCGGGAAUUUGAAUGGAAAGGUGAAGUUGUCACUUUUGCUUAAUCACUCCUCUUGGGACAAAAGACAUGAUAUGUUCUCAAUAAAUAGUUGUU